UAGGAUUGUUACGAUGUCGAUUUGGAGGUUGUGCCCUUGAGGCGUGGCUUCCGGAGCUAACGCGUUAAAUCGACCGCCUGGGGAGUACGGCCGCAAGGUUAAAACUCAAAUGAAUUGACGGGGGCCCGCACAAGCGGUGGAGCAUGUGGUUUAAUUCGAUGCAACGCGAAGAACCUUACCUACUCUUGACAUCCAGAGAAUUCGCUAGAGAUAGCUUAGUGCCUUCGGGAACUCUGAGACAGGUGCUGCAUGGCUGUCGUCAGCUCGUGUUGUGAAAUGUUGGGUUAAGUCCCGCAACGAGCGCAACCCUUAUCCUUUGUUGCCAGCGAUUCGGUCGGGAACUCAAAGGAGACUGCCGGUGAUAAACCGGAGGAAGGUGGGGAUGACGUCAAGUCAUCAUGGCCCUUACGAGUAGGGCUACACACGUGCUACAAUGGCGUAUACAAAGAGAAGCGAACUCGCGAGAGCAAGCGGACCUCAUAAAGUACGUCGUAGUCCGGAUUGGAGUCUGCAACUCGACUCCAUGAAGUCGGAAUCGCUAGUAAUCGUAGAUCAGAAUGCUACGGUGAAUACGUUCCCGGGCCUUGUACACACCGCCCGUCACACCAUGGGAGUGGGUUGCAAAAGAAGUAGGUAGCUUAACCUUCGGGAGGGCGCUUACCACUUUGUGAUUCAUGACUGGGGUGAAGUCGUAAAAGGGGUAAGCCAAUAC
RNAcentral lists this ribosomal RNA (712 nucleotides) under endophytic bacterium WL2b. RNAcentral's name for it is "bacterial SSU rRNA". It matches the Rfam family "Bacterial small subunit ribosomal RNA", at positions 796 to 1533 of the family's 1533-position model. The record is from RNAcentral.